RNAcentral lists this ribosomal RNA (404 nucleotides) under uncultured bacterium. RNAcentral describes it as "bacterial SSU rRNA". It matches the Rfam family "Bacterial small subunit ribosomal RNA", at positions 430 to 826 of the family's 1533-position model. The record is from RNAcentral.
GCACUUUAAGCAGUGAAGAAGACUCUGUGGUUAAUACCCACAGACGAUGACAUUAGCUGCAGAAUAAGCACCGGCUAACUCUGUGCCAGCAGCCGCGGUAAUACAGAGGGUGCAAGCGUUAAUCGGAAUUACUGGGCGUAAAGGGAGCGUAGGUGGCUCGAUAAGUCAGAUGUGAAAUCCCCGGGCUCAACCUGGGAACUGCAUCUGAUACCGUCGUGCUAGAGUAUGUGAGAGGAAGGUAGAAUUCCAGGUGUAGCGGUGAAAUGCGUAGAGAUCUGGAGGAAUACCGAUGGCGAAGGCAGCCUUCUGGCAUAAUACUGACACUGAGGCUCGAAAGCGUGGGUAGCAAACAGGAUUAGAUACCCUGGUAGUCCACGCCGUAAACGAUGUCUACUAGUCGUUGG